UAUUUAAAGUCAACCAUUUGGUUAAUAGUCCGCUUAGACUAUUCAGAAACUUCUUAGUAGAAGAGUUUACUAGCCCUUGGUUAGUCAAGAAUCAACUAAUCAAUAAAGUAUUUCCUACUUGACUUCUUGACAUAAAGGAAGAGUGACCAAGUCUCUGGCCGCUCACAAUUUAGCACUAUCUCUUUCCCCUUAGCACCAUAUUUUCACUUACCCAGAAAAAAACCUCAAGAUUUCAAUUCUUACCAUGGAAUCGUUCUCCCCCAACAAAAUCUCAAUGACAUCAGUUAAAGAUAGCCAUAAUUUGAAUGAUCAAACGUACUCAAGAAGAAGAAAGCAGCAGCUCAAGUUGUUCAUCGCUUUAAUCAUCUUUUUCAUUCUCUUAAUCGCUGCCAUUAUCUCUGUUUUAACGAUGAUUAAGCGAGAUUAUGAAUCUGAGUCACCUGCCAAUAACCCACACAAGGCAAUCGAAACCAUUUGCUCCCUGACUCCGUACUACCAGGAUUGCUUCAGUCAACCCCAAGUCAAUGCGAGGCUUUGUUCAACAGUUCAGUGAGUCAACUGAAACAACGAGAAAAAUUUGACAGUAAAGAUGAACUUGAGAUCUGAAAUGAUGAGCUGGCUCGAAACUGAGAGGCCCAAAAUUGGGAGAUGCUUGUAUUGGUUGGAGUAUGAGAUGGAGUUGGAUACGAAAAACGCAAGCAAUAGCUUAAUGAUUCUGGCAAAUAUGAACAAGAUUAAUGAGAUGUUUAACCCAUCGAUUACUAGUGUCCUGGGUUUUGAUUUAUUUCAACGCUCGGGGAAAACUAUCUUAGCUUUGUUUCUGUCGGAUAAUGACUUCGUGGGCACCGUAUGUGUUUUUGGCUUGCAGUUUACUUUCUUGCUGAUUUUGGUAUGUCUGCUUUUACGUGUAUGGUGAUACUACAUAUGUCAUUCAAUUUUAUGUAGUGUGUAGUACGUGGUUCGUCACUCUUUGAGUUUUCUGGAAUUAUGAAUAAAAUAAUAUGGGUAUUUAUCUUUA
Long non-coding RNA from Nicotiana attenuata, 1018 nucleotides. RefSeq lists it as uncharacterized. NCBI's taxonomy places the organism in Eukaryota, Viridiplantae, Streptophyta, Magnoliopsida, Solanales, Solanaceae. The record is from RefSeq and is a predicted model, not a curated record. The transcript is spliced from 2 exons.